AUUGAACGCUGGCGGCAGGCCUAACACAUGCAAGUCGAACGGUAACAGGAAGAAGCUUGCUUCUUUGCUGACGAGUGGCGGGCGUGUGAGUAAUGUCUGGGAAACUGCCUGAUGGAGGGGGAUAACUACUGGAACGGGAGCCUAUACCGCAUAAUGUCGCAAGACCCAAAGGGGGGACCUUCUGGCCUCCUGCCAUCGAUAGUGCCCAGAUGGGAUUAGCUGGGAGGUGGGGUAACGGCUCACCUAGGCGACGAUCCCUAGCUGGUCUGAGAGGAUGACCAGCCACACUGGAAAGGAGACACGGUCCAGACUCCUACGGGAGGCAGCAGUGGGGAAUAUUGCACAGUGGGCGCAAGCAUGAUGCAGCUAUGCCGCGUGUAUGAAGAAGGCCUUCGGGUUGUAAAGUACUUUCAGCGGGGAGGAAGGGAGUAAAGUUAAUACCUUUGCUCAUUGACGUUACCCGCAGAAGAAGCACCGGCUAACUCCGUG
Molecule: ribosomal RNA, 489 nt
Filed under: uncultured bacterium
Lineage: Bacteria
Description: partial 16S ribosomal RNA
Rfam family: Bacterial small subunit ribosomal RNA
Source: RNAcentral